UCAAAAGGUGCCGGAUUUGUCCUUCGUGCAUUUUGCUGUGUGCCGUUGCCUGUAAUUAAUUUUUUUUUUUCCCCCACUGAAAAAGCUUUCUCAACUGGAAAAAAAAAAGAAGAAAAAAAAAAAAGCCUAAAAACAACCCCCCACAUUUUUGGCAAUGGGUUGUUUUUCUAAGCAAUUAAUUAAGCACUGAUUUUAAAAGAAUUUGCAUCCUUCUUCCAGCCUGUGUCAAGCAUGGAUUUUGUUUUAAUCACUUCACUACCCUCUGACUGAAUAAGGACUGAAAAAGAUGCAGAGAGUAAAAAUUUCCUCAGGAAAUGAAUCAGACGAGGAACCUAUGCCUCAUCUUGCCUCCUACAACCGAAGAAAGAGAGGAUUUUGUCAAUGAACUGCAUUUGGGGAAAUCAAGACCUGAGCAGAUCCUUUUUUUAUUUCCACUCAUUUUCAGGAAUACUUUCCUUGAAGAGUUGGGCCUAGCAAUAUGGCAGCGCCCGUUCGAUAAGAAAUCUUGUAAAGUGCUGCUACUGAGGACCACGUGCUCCCCGACCCAUUGCCUUGACUGCUGCACACAUUGCAGGGCUAGACCUUUCCGAAAGCCGGGUGCUCCCAAAUUGCAUUUAGGGUCCUACCUAAAAGUUUUGCUGGUUUUACAAAGAUGCUCCACGCCUGCAGCUUCUGCUCUUGGUAGGAAUUUCGGGCACUGA
RNAcentral lists this long non-coding RNA (701 nucleotides) under Anas platyrhynchos platyrhynchos (common mallard). Its description in RNAcentral is "lncRNA (ENSAPLG00000017880.1)". The record is from RNAcentral. Lineage: Eukaryota; Metazoa; Chordata; Aves; Anseriformes; Anatidae.